RNAcentral lists this ribosomal RNA (253 nucleotides) under uncultured bacterium. RNAcentral's name for it is "partial 16S ribosomal RNA". It matches the Rfam family "Bacterial small subunit ribosomal RNA", at positions 524 to 776 of the family's 1533-position model. The record is from RNAcentral.
UACAGAGGUCCCAAGCGUUGUUCGGAUUCACUGGGCGUAAAGGGUGCGUAGGUGGUGAGGUAAGUCGGAUGUGAAAUCUCCGGGCUCAACCCGGAAAUGGCAUCGGAAACUACCUUGCUGGAGGAUUUGAGGGGGGAUUGGAAUACUUGGUGUAGCAGUGAAAUGCGUAGAUAUCAAGUGGAACACCAGUGGCGAAGGCGAAUCCCUGGAAAAUACCUGACACUGAGGCACGAAAGCUAGGGGAGCAAACAGG